This 237-nucleotide ribosomal RNA is filed under the name uncultured bacterium. RNAcentral's name for it is "partial 16S ribosomal RNA". It matches the Rfam family "Bacterial small subunit ribosomal RNA", at positions 96 to 334 of the family's 1533-position model. The record is from RNAcentral.
UGGCGCACGGGUGCGUAACGCGUAACCAACCUACCCACAUCUGGGGGAUAGCCCGCCGAAAGGCGGAUUAAUACCGCAUAAGCUACUUGACCGGCAUCGGUUGGAUAGUAAAGAUUUAUUGGAUGUGGAUGGGGUUGCGUGCCAUUAGCUAGUUGGGGGGUAACGGCCCACCAAGGCGACGAUGGCUAGGGGAGCUGAGAGGCUGGUCCCCCACACGGGCACUGAGAUACGGGCCCG